Pelodiscus sinensis (Chinese soft-shelled turtle) is the source of this 1156-nucleotide non-coding RNA. Lineage: Eukaryota; Metazoa; Chordata; Testudines; Trionychidae. The record is from RefSeq and is a predicted model, not a curated record.
GUAAGCAGGGCUCUGCUUUGAGUCCACAAGUGUUGCUAAGCAAUAGAAACAGGGGGAGGGGGAGAGUGCAACAGAGUCUCUGACUUUAGGAGUAUAAGAAUCAAUGGAAGAGAAUACUGAUGCUCCUAUAUAGUCUCAUUUACAGCGUAUGUUAUAAGUAUGAAAUAUUUCCUAUCUACCUUCCUCACUGCUCGCAGCCUGCGAAAAUGUGAUUCUCUGUCUAACUCAAUGCACAUCCUGCAAGGACGAAGCAGUGUUGCAUCCUGGAGUACUGGCAAAAGCAGUGAGGCAUCAGAACUGUUCACAUCAGCCUCUUGACUAAAAAGGUGGGAAGUCGAGAACCUGCCCCAAAGACUAGGAGCUGGAGUGGGAGAGACCAUGCUUAACCCUGCUGUUGGAAGUCAGUGGGCAGGACAGGAAGUACAAAAGGCAGGCUGGAAAACUCAUUUAAAGCCCAGCCACCAGAGGAUCCUGACACCUUCUGUGAGUUCCCAAGCUGGGAGGCUACUACAGACCCAGAAGAACCUGAGGACUGGCUAGGACUAUUUACAGACCUGAAAAGGGAGAAGCUGCAAGCCCUGACAGAAUUCCUCAUCCCUGAUGGCCAGAACGAUCCUCUAUAGAACCAGGCACGGGAACCAUCCCUCUCACUGGACCAUGAGCCAUGAAGGAACAUCACAAUACAAAGGACUGGUGAAUUGCCCUGUGGCACAUUCAAAAUGCUACAUGCAAAGGACUUGUGGACUGGAAGGCAAAAUGUAGAAGAUUAAAAAGAGAGUCACAAGAAAAUUCUUCAUCUCUUUGUUGUCUGAGCUCUUAAAGACAGAGACACUAAACUGAAGCAGAGAUUGCCCAAGGGACCACCCUGAAAGACAUUUUAACCAGACAGAUUACCACAUUUGUCACCUGUAGGAACCACCGAUUGUAACAUAUUUGUGUGUGUACGUCGGCUUGCUUUAAUCUUUAAAUAACUCAUUUGUAUUUCCUAGUUAAUAAAUCUUUAAUUUAUUACAGGAUUGGCUACUGGUGUAAAUUCUAGAAUAGCAACUGAUCUGAAGUAAGUGACUAGUCUCUUGGAACUGGAAGCAACCUGAAUAUUUUGCAAUUUUUAGUAUAAAUUACCAUUUAUCAUUAAAUCCAGCUUUCCUGGUUAGCA